This 500-nucleotide ribosomal RNA is filed under the name uncultured bacterium. Its description in RNAcentral is "partial 16S ribosomal RNA". It matches the Rfam family "Bacterial small subunit ribosomal RNA", at positions 30 to 523 of the family's 1533-position model. The record is from RNAcentral.
AUUGAACGCUGGCGGAAUGCUUUACACAUGCAAGUCGAACGGCAGCACGGACUUCGGUCUGGUGGCGAGUGGCGAACGGGUGAGUAAUACAUCGGAACGUACCCAGUAAUGGGGGAUAACUAUCCGAAAGGAUAGCUAAUACCGCAUACGCCCUACGGGGGAAAGAGGGGGAUCGCAAGACCUCUUGUUAUUGGAGCGGCCGAUGGCUGAUUAGCUAGUUGGUAGGGUAAUGGCCUACCAAGGCAACGAUCAGUAGCGGGUCUUAGAGGACGAUCCGCCACACUGGAACUGAGACACGGUCCAGACUCCUACGGGAGGCAGCAGUGGGGAAUCUUGGACAAUGGGCGCAAGCCUGAUCCAGCAAUGCCGCGUGCGUGAAGAAGGCCUUCGGGUUGUAAAGCGCUUUUGUCAGGGAGCAAAUCCUUGUGGCUAAUACCCACCGGGGAUGAGAGUACCUGAAGAAUAAGGACCGGCUAACUACGUGCCAGCAGCCGCCGUAA